CCUACUGGCGGCAGCAGUGGGGAAUUUUGGACAAUGGGGGAAACCCUGAUCCAGCCAUGCCGCGUGCGGGAUGAAGGCCUUCGGGUUGUAAACCGCUUUUGUCAGAGACGCAAAGGGACGCACGAAUAAUACGUUCCGCUGACGGUAUCUGAAGAAUAAGCACCGGCUAACUACGUGCCAGCAGCCGCGGUAAUACGUAGGGUGCAAGCGUUAAUCGGAAUUACUGGGCGUAAAGGGUGCGCAGGCGGCUGUGCAAGACAGAUGUGAAAUCCCCGGGCUUAACCUGGGAACUGCAUUUGUGACUGCACGGCUAGAGUUUGUCAGAGGAGGGUGGAAUUCCGCGUGUAGCAGUGAAAUGCGUAGAUAUGCGGAAGAACACCAAUGGCGAAGGCAGCCCUCUGGGACAUGACUGACGCUCAUGCACGAAAGCGUGGGGAGCAAACAGGAUUAGAUACCCCAGUAGUC
This 465-nucleotide ribosomal RNA is filed under the name uncultured Alcaligenaceae bacterium. RNAcentral describes it as "bacterial SSU rRNA". It matches the Rfam family "Bacterial small subunit ribosomal RNA", at positions 338 to 795 of the family's 1533-position model. Lineage: Bacteria; Pseudomonadati; Pseudomonadota; Betaproteobacteria; Burkholderiales; Alcaligenaceae. The record is from RNAcentral.